Molecule: small RNA, 129 nt
Filed under: Shigella flexneri
Lineage: Bacteria; Pseudomonadati; Pseudomonadota; Gammaproteobacteria; Enterobacterales; Enterobacteriaceae
Description: partial RtT sRNA
Rfam family: RtT RNA
About the family: This family represents a bacterial cis-regulatory element known as RtT RNA.
Source: RNAcentral
GUCGCAGGUUCGAAUCCUGCACGACCCACCAAUUUUAACAUCAAACUCAGAUGUUAAGCGUGAAGGAUAACGUUGCGCCAGCAACGGCCCGUAGGGCGAGCGAAGCGAGUCAUCCUGCACGACUCACCA